AACAGAGUCCUUACCACACCUUGUUGACCCAUGCAUGUGGAACAGGAUGUGGUGCAGACUCA
This 62-nucleotide microRNA precursor is filed under the name Monodelphis domestica (gray short-tailed opossum). RNAcentral's name for it is "microRNA mdo-mir-12401 precursor". The record is from miRBase by way of RNAcentral. Lineage: Eukaryota; Metazoa; Chordata; Mammalia; Didelphimorphia; Didelphidae.